This 73-nucleotide transfer RNA is filed under the name Camelus bactrianus (Bactrian camel). It matches the Rfam family "tRNA". From Rfam's summary of the family: Transfer RNA (tRNA) molecules are approximately 80 nucleotides in length. Their secondary structure includes four short double-helical elements and three loops (D, anti-codon, and T loops). Further hydrogen bonds mediate the characteristic L-shaped molecular structure. tRNAs have two regions of fundamental functional importance: the anti-codon, which is responsible for specific mRNA codon recognition, and the 3' end, to which the tRNAs corresponding amino acid is attached (by aminoacyl-tRNA synthetases). tRNAs cope with the degeneracy of the genetic code in two manners: having more than one tRNA (with a specific anti-codon) for a particular amino acid; and 'wobble' base-pairing, i.e. permitting non-standard base-pairing at the 3rd anti-codon position. Lineage: Eukaryota; Metazoa; Chordata; Mammalia; Artiodactyla; Camelidae. The record is from Rfam by way of RNAcentral. RNAcentral also lists the same sequence under 1 other name.
GAGGGUAUAGCUCAGUUGUAGAAUGUAUGCUUAGCAAAGCAUGAGGUCCUGGGUUUAAUCCCCAGUACCUACA